This is a non-coding RNA of Schistosoma curassoni, 45 nucleotides long. The record is from Rfam. Lineage: Eukaryota; Metazoa; Platyhelminthes; Trematoda; Strigeidida; Schistosomatidae.
AUUUAGUUGACGAGUUUCAAAGGGAACGAAACUCGAGUCCUGGAU